Molecule: ribosomal RNA, 253 nt
Filed under: uncultured bacterium
Lineage: Bacteria
Description: partial 16S ribosomal RNA
Rfam family: Bacterial small subunit ribosomal RNA
Source: RNAcentral
UACGUAGGGUGCAAGCGUUAAUCGGAAUUAUUGGGCGUAAAGCGCUCGUAGGUGGUUCGAUGCGUCGUGCGUGAAAGACCCCGGCUCAACUGGGGAGGGUCGUGCGAUACGGUCGAACUGGAGGCCAGUAGGGGGAUGCGGAAUUCCGGGUGUAGUGGUGGAAUGCGUAGAGAUCCGGAGGAACACCAGCGGCGAAGGCGGCAUCCUGGACUGGUCCUGACACUCAGGAGCGAAAGCGUGGGGAGCGAGCCGG